This 253-nucleotide ribosomal RNA is filed under the name uncultured bacterium. Its description in RNAcentral is "partial 16S ribosomal RNA". It matches the Rfam family "Bacterial small subunit ribosomal RNA", at positions 524 to 776 of the family's 1533-position model. The record is from RNAcentral.
UACGGGGGGGGCAAGCGUUGUUCGGAAUUACUGGGCGUAAAGGGCUCGUAGGCGGCCAACUAAGUCAGACGUGAAAUCCCUCGGCUUAACCGGGGAACUGCGUCUGAUACUGGAUGGCUUGAGAUUGGGAGAGGGAUGCGGAAUUCCAGGUGUAGCGGUGAAAUGCGUAGAUAUCGAGAGGAACACCUGCGGCGAAGGCGGGUAGCUGGGCCGACACUGACGCUGAGGCGCGAAAGCCAGGGGAGCGAACGGG